AUGGUGAAUGGCAAGGUAUGCAAACUAGUGAUUGAUAGUUGCAGCUGCGAGAAUCUUAUCUCCCAGAAGUUGGUGGACCAUUUAAAGCUUGAAACCCAUGAUCAUCCAAAUCCCUACACUAAUGGAUGGAUCAAGAAAGGAGUGAAUAUGAGGAUCACCAAACAAUGCAACCUGCCACUUUCUUUGGGUAAGAAUUAUCGCUCAAAUGUGUUGUGUGAUAUGGUUGACAUGGAUGCCAGCCAUGUUCUUCUUGGGAGGCCUUGGCAAUAUGAUGUGGAUACUACACACAAGGGCAAGGAAAAUUCUUACUCUUUCAUUUGGAACAAGAGAAAGAUCAUUAUCUUAACAAACAAAACCGAAGGUAAUACCUCUAAGGAGGAGGGGAAAACUAUGUUAACUAUCUCCCAUACCUCUCAUGAGUUUAUGGAAGACUUGAAGGAGGCAGAUUUGUGUGCUGCACUUGUUGUAAAGGGAGAAGAGCACCUGACUGUUGAAAUUCCAGCAAAGGUACGUGGUUUAUUGGCAGAAUUUCAUAACAUACUUGGGGAGCCACAUGGCUUGCCACCGAUGAGAGGAAUUCAACAUAGAAUUGACUUAAUUUCGGGAGCAAGUCUUCCUAAUCUUCCACACUAUUGA
This 636-nucleotide ribosomal RNA is filed under the name Triticum aestivum (bread wheat). RNAcentral's name for it is "partial small subunit ribosomal RNA". Lineage: Eukaryota; Viridiplantae; Streptophyta; Magnoliopsida; Poales; Poaceae. The record is from RNAcentral.